Long non-coding RNA from Bubalus bubalis (water buffalo), 1145 nucleotides. RefSeq lists it as uncharacterized. NCBI's taxonomy places the organism in Eukaryota, Metazoa, Chordata, Mammalia, Artiodactyla, Bovidae. The transcript has 3 exons. The record is from RefSeq and is a predicted model, not a curated record.
CUGCCUGCUUCGGCGGAUAUAAUUGACAAGGGACGAGAAACCUUGAAGUGCAGACCUUGACCCCUUAUUGGUUGGCGGUUGAAUGUGAAAGGGUCCUACAAAUGUGGUCAUGCGGUGUUUUCAACUGUCUGUAACCAACUGCUACGAUUUCUGCACAAACCCAACCCGGAGGUCCGAGUGCCAAAGCUGCCCUUCACGACGUCGUGUCCACAGCCUGCAAAGCCCCUAGUGGAUCCUACCUCUGUGGCUGCUGCAACAGAGCUGCUGCCUUACCUGAGGCUUCCACGAACAACAGCAGGGAUUCAAGCUGCCCCUUCUCUCUCGCUCCUGAGCUCAGCUUCCCUCCACAUCCAGGGCCAACGCUUUGGAGCUCAUCCUGCUGACUCUUUGCCCCAUUUCUGCACUGGCAGCUCCGCUCACCUGACCCCUAAAUCUGUGCCUGCUUGGGGAUCUGGCCGAGAUGCUGUUCCUGCUCUUGUCUGCCUGCCUGCCAGCUCUCCUCUGCUUCCCCUGCCACAGCUCCAGCCCAGUGGAACUGUGUCUGGUUUCUGUCUGGAUUCCUUUUUCAAAGCUUUCAGAUAGAAUGAGAGGAAAAUUCUCUCUCCAACUUUUAACACAUAGAAGGAGCUUGGUAAAUAUGAGUUGAAGUUGGUAAAGAAUGGAAGGAUGGAAGAAAGGAAGGGAGGGAUGGAGGAAGAGAGAGAAAGAAGGAGACAAUGGAGAAUCUUGCUCACUGGACCACCCUACCUUCUUAAGGACUCCAAAUCCAGAGAUUCUGAAAGCUCUUAAACAAAGUAUCAGGGUAGGUGGAGGGCAGGAGGGGAGAGACAGAGCGGAAGGGAUGAACUGGCCUGUGCUCCUGGGAGAACACAGACCCAGGGCUGGGGGCCCAUAGCUUCCCCAUGUCUGCGGCACUGAUCACUGGCCAAGUCUCCCCAGGUCCAGGGAAUGUCAGAGGCCCUGCCCCAUGUCUUCGCCCCUACAGUUUCUUCUACCUGGGCUGCUCUUUCCUUUCCUCUUCACCUUUCUCAUUCCUCUUCCUUCCUGUGAGGACUUCCCACCCAUCCCUUCCCCAUGCCUGCAGCCAGAGACUCUUUCCACUCUGCCAGCCUUCCUGGAGCAGUACCUGAUGGAGGGUGUUUGUC